This 241-nucleotide unclassified non-coding RNA is filed under the name uncultured Ascomycota. RNAcentral's name for it is "sequence contains ITS2". The stretch from base 1 to 52 matches the Rfam family "5.8S ribosomal RNA", at positions 103 to 154 of the family's 154-position model. The record is from RNAcentral. Lineage: Eukaryota; Fungi; Ascomycota.
AACGCACAUUGCGCCCCCUGGUAUUCCGGGGGGCAUGCCUGUCCGAGCGUCAUUACAACCCUCAAGCCUAGCUUGGUGUUGGGCUCCGCUGCCUGGCGGGCCCUAAAGUCAGUGGCGGUGCCGUCCAGCUCCGAGCGUAGUAAUUCUUCUCGCUCUGGAGGCCUGGGCGCGUGCUUGCCAGCAACCCCCCAAUUUUUAUCAGGUUGACCUCGGAUCAGGUAGGGAUACCCGCUGAACUUAA